This 294-nucleotide long non-coding RNA is filed under the name Trifolium pratense (red clover). RNAcentral describes it as "long non-coding RNA (TPRA_LNC008961)". Lineage: Eukaryota; Viridiplantae; Streptophyta; Magnoliopsida; Fabales; Fabaceae. The record is from RNAcentral.
CAGUGCAAUAUAUAUUGGCCAGAAACUAUUCGACAUAAGUUUGCACUUCAUUAAUUAUUACAAUAGAGAAGAGUUUAGAUAACAGUCAGACUAAACACGUUUAAGGUAAAAAUAAUUACAAUAAAUUUAAAUUUGAGUUUGAAACAACAAAUACAACAUUCAUUGUCGUCAGUAAUAUUAGUAGACAAUGGGGUCGUUUCUAUUGCUUUAGUGCUUUUCACCAAUAAAUAUCUUGUUCUCCAAUGGCCUUAAUACUACAGUAGACCAUGACAGCUGCUGAUGUGGGGAUAGAUC